GGGACUCCACUAUUCUAGAUCUUUAGGCUCCUCGUGAUGUGCUCUUCAAGCUGGACUUCUCUGUAUCUGAAUUUUAGCUACUGUGGAUCAAAUUUGAGAUAUCUGGUCUCAAUAAUCUCUACCUCGACUCGACAUUCAGUCUCUACCUGACUUUGAAAGCUUCUAAAUCUUCUCACCCCCUUGCCUCAGGGCAAAUGCUUGCUACUCAUAGAUGGGCAAAUAUGAG
This 226-nucleotide long non-coding RNA is filed under the name Elaeis guineensis (African oil palm). RNAcentral describes it as "long non-coding RNA (EGUI_LNC054454)". Lineage: Eukaryota; Viridiplantae; Streptophyta; Magnoliopsida; Arecales; Arecaceae. The record is from RNAcentral.